GUAGGUGUAGCUCAGUGGUGGAGCAUGUGUUUAGCAUGCACAGGGUCCUGGGUUCAACUCCCAGUACCUCCA
RNAcentral lists this transfer RNA (72 nucleotides) under Camelus bactrianus (Bactrian camel). It matches the Rfam family "tRNA". Rfam says of the family: Transfer RNA (tRNA) molecules are approximately 80 nucleotides in length. The record is from Rfam by way of RNAcentral. Lineage: Eukaryota; Metazoa; Chordata; Mammalia; Artiodactyla; Camelidae. RNAcentral also lists the same sequence under 1 other name.